UUUAUCUUAUCCAUAUUAAUAUAAGAGAUAGCAGACCACUAUUCCUACAGUCGAAUUUCGAACACGCAGCACGCAACACGCAGGGCGACCAUGGCGGUUCUGAGAGGCGCGGGGAGGGAGGGCCGCUCUCAACGCUCCAUGCGACGCGUUGGGAGCUAAAUCAAGCUUUCAGCAAGAUCAGCUUGUAGAUAAAAAAUGGCAAUAUGAGCUUCAUAACAUAGAUCUACAAAAAAUGCGCAAUGGCUUUAUUACACGAUUAGAAGAAAGAUUUCAUUUUUGACACAAACAUUUCAUUUUCUUCAGGGAGAUCUCGUUGCAUUCAACGUGUUACAAAAUAAUCAUUCGUGCACAAAACCAUUAGAUUUCCUUCAUUGGGAGCCGAUUCCGGGUGCACCAUUUGGUCAUGCUUAUCAUUAUAAUACAAUGUCGAAGGAACUGAAGCGAUCUGAGAAAUUUAUACUGUACCACAGCCGGAAAGGAAUGAAAUUUAAAUUGUAUAUACAAUUAAGCUUGUAAUAAAAACAAACAAAGCACCGGAAGGCUUUGUAAACAGACAAAUAGAUAGAUGCGGCGAAGAAGUGUAUUUACGUAGAUAAGAUAGGUAUGUGGAUAGUAAAAAAAAAUCACCGGUGCGAAGAUUAGGAUGAACUCGACCGUGUUGUCAACCGUCAGUUGGUGCUCCAAGUCAAAAUCCAAUCUGGAAUUAAACAUUAAAAUACCUACUAAACCUUA
This is a long non-coding RNA of Plodia interpunctella (Indianmeal moth), 732 nucleotides long. RefSeq lists it as uncharacterized. The transcript has 2 exons. The record is from RefSeq and is a predicted model, not a curated record. NCBI's taxonomy places the organism in Eukaryota, Metazoa, Arthropoda, Insecta, Lepidoptera, Pyralidae.